This 603-nucleotide ribosomal RNA is filed under the name uncultured Acinetobacter sp. Its description in RNAcentral is "bacterial SSU rRNA". It matches the Rfam family "Bacterial small subunit ribosomal RNA", at positions 73 to 670 of the family's 1533-position model. The record is from RNAcentral. Lineage: Bacteria; Pseudomonadati; Pseudomonadota; Gammaproteobacteria; Moraxellales; Moraxellaceae.
GAGGUGCUUGCACCUUAUCUUAGCGGCGGACGGGUGAGUAAUGCUUAGGAAUCUGCCUAUUAGUGGGGGACAACAUUCCGAAAGGAAUGCUAAUACCGCAUACGUCCUACGGGAGAAAGCAGGGGAUCUUCGGACCUUGCGCUAAUAGAUGAGCCUAAGUCGGAUUAGCUAGUUGGUGGGGUAAAGGCCUACCAAGGCGACGAUCUGUAGCGGGUCUGAGAGGAUGAUCCGCCACACUGGGACUGAGACACGGCCCAGACUCCUACGGGAGGCAGCAGUGGGGAAUAUUGGACAAUGGGGGGAACCCUGAUCCAGCCAUGCCGCGUGUGUGAAGAAGGCCUUAUGGUUGUAAAGCACUUUAAGCGAGGAGGAGGCUACUGAGACUAAUACUCUUGGAUAGUGGACGUUACUCGCAGAAUAAGCACCGGCUAACUCUGUGCCAGCAGCCGCGGUAAUACAGAGGGUGCGAGCGUUAAUCGGAUUUACUGGGCGUAAAGCGUGCGUAGGCGGCUUUUUAAGUCGGAUGUGAAAUCCCCGAGCUUAACUUGGGAAUUGCAUUCGAUACUGGGAAGCUAGAGUAUGGGAGAGGAUGGGUAGAAUUCC